This 1628-nucleotide long non-coding RNA is filed under the name Sus scrofa (pig). RNAcentral describes it as "lncRNA (ENSSSCG00055017083.1)". The record is from RNAcentral. Lineage: Eukaryota; Metazoa; Chordata; Mammalia; Artiodactyla; Suidae.
GAAUGAACGUGCAGCAGCAGCCAGCCGGGUGGGCCUCCCAGGCCCCUCGGGGGGCUUCCUGAAGCUGGCGGUGGGGCAGGGGGUGGGGGGCACUCCGAUGGGCAGGGGGGAAAAGAGUGUCUGAGCUCCCGGCCGCACAUCAGGGCACCCAUGUUUCAGGCAACUGGACAGGGAGGGUCGGCGUGCGGCCUGAGGCCUCUGCCAGCCUUCAGCGCGGAGCCGCCGAGGAUCCUGACGAGGUUGCAGGGAGUGAGUGACUCCGCUGCCCUCUAGGUGAUUGUUACUGAAGGAUUUAAAAGUUCCCCGGACUUGCAGGUGGAUACUUCAAACUGAUCUGCUUGUGGCCACAGCCCAGGUCUUUUACAUCCUGUGCCUCCCCCCACCCCCAAGAGAAGGACAGCACUGUCGCCUCCCUUCAGUGCGAGGACCAUCAGCACAUAGGAGGCCCUGACGUGCAGCCGGCAGACCAGCGUCACUUCGUCAGGAGCAUCUCGUCCCCGUUGUCCUCUGAGUGACUGUGUUUUCAAAGUCAGUUUGGGGUCCUCACUGUCACAGGCUAAGGGCCAUUUAGACAUUUUCUCAGGCCGCAGGAAGCAAGCAAGGAGGCUGUGGCUUUCCCGGAGCCCAGUCCAGUGCCGCGCAUGGGGAUUCCGCCUUCGGUCAGAUGCGCCCCCAGGCCCAGUCCCGGCGGUUUCACGGGCAGCUUGGUCUGAGGACCUGGGAGGAGGAGGAGUCGUUUUGUAAAUGUUCCGCGGCCGCAAAAAUUCUUGUCCUGGGGCCUGAUAAUGAAAGCUGUGAGCUGGGAAAAUCAGCGUUUGAUUUUUAUACCAGCUCGGCACAAAGAAGCCGACCCAGAGAUGCCAGCGUUCCGUGCCCCGUUAGCCCUGGCGCCGUGCGCCGUGCCUGGCCCCCAGUCCUCGGCACGGGCGUACAGCGCGCCAUCCUGACCUUCCCGAACCAUCCAGUUCAGGGGCGUCGGAAGCUCACGCUGUUGUGAAUCGCCAGCGACAUCUCCGGAACUUUCUCACCUUCCCGCACAGCAGCGCUGCCCCCUGAGCGGCACCUCCCCACCCCAUGCUCCCCUGCCCGUGGGACCACCCCCUGCUCGCCCCGGGGAGUCGGACUCUUUUAGGUCCGUCCUACGAGUGGAAUCCCCCAGCACGUGUCCCUUUCCGUCCGGCUCAGUGCCCUCAGCAUCACGUCCUCGAGGUCCGGCCAGGGUGUGGCCUGUGGAGGGAGUUCCCUCUCCUCUGUGAACACGAGUCCGCUGGAACCCCUGCUUCCCAUUCGUCUGCACACAGACCCAGAGGGGGCUUUCUGCAGCAGGUGGUAACGCGGUGAUUACACGUCUGAGACGCCUCCGUACGUUUCCACGGGGCUGCCCCACGUCGCACCGCAGGGGCGGCGCGCAGGCGCUCCCCUCUCUGCACAGCCUCCCCAACCCUUGCUGUUCUCUGUGUGUCUUCUGUCAUAGUUGCCGUCGUGGUGAGAGUGUAGUUUUAUCCCGUGGUUCUGAUUUGCUUUUACCGAAUGGCCAGUGAGGCCGAGCGUCUUGUAUGCGUUGGCCACGUGUGUACCUUCUUUGGAGCAGCGUCUGUUGCCCAUGUUUGAAUCAGGUUGGGUUUGUC